Molecule: transfer RNA, 75 nt
Filed under: Blastocatellia bacterium
Lineage: Bacteria; Pseudomonadati; Acidobacteriota; Blastocatellia
Description: tRNA-Glu
Rfam family: tRNA
About the family: Transfer RNA (tRNA) molecules are approximately 80 nucleotides in length. Their secondary structure includes four short double-helical elements and three loops (D, anti-codon, and T loops). Further hydrogen bonds mediate the characteristic L-shaped molecular structure. tRNAs have two regions of fundamental functional importance: the anti-codon, which is responsible for specific mRNA codon recognition, and the 3' end, to which the tRNAs corresponding amino acid is attached (by aminoacyl-tRNA synthetases). tRNAs cope with the degeneracy of the genetic code in two manners: having more than one tRNA (with a specific anti-codon) for a particular amino acid; and 'wobble' base-pairing, i.e. permitting non-standard base-pairing at the 3rd anti-codon position.
Source: RNAcentral
GUCUCGGUCGUCUAGCCAGGUCCAGGACACCGCCCUUUCACGGCGGUAACACGGGUUCAAAUCCCGUCCGAGAUA